Molecule: long non-coding RNA, 1031 nt
Organism: Saccostrea cuccullata (small rock oyster)
Lineage: Eukaryota; Metazoa; Mollusca; Bivalvia; Ostreida; Ostreidae
Exons: 2
Source: RefSeq, a predicted model, not a curated record
UAACAUAUCAUCGUUCUAUUACCACUCUUUCGUGCAAUUCUGAUUAUUUUGCUGAUUUUAAAGGGUUGUUACGAUCGAUUUCAAGAGUUGGUUCAAAGUUCAUCAGCACCGGUUAUUGGGGUUGCGAUCACCGUUAUGGUAAUUGAGCUGCUGGGCUUUGUUUUUGCCAUUGUCCUAUGUAAGCAGACGGGAUCAGAGUCUAUGGCUGUGUAGUGCUACCGCUAGGAUUUACACGAUAGCAGUAAAGCCAGAACAAACUCCAGCUCACCGCUGCUGUCUAUCCACGCAAUGAUCCAGAUAUAAAGAUUUCUAAUCAGCUUAUGUAUAGCUUUGUCAAAGUAUAGUAUGUAAACAAUCAAAAUUUUAUAAUCUUUUAUAAUUCGAUAUAGAAAAAUAUAGCUUUAUAUUUUAGAAACUUAUAUUAAGUACAUGUCUAUUAUUCUCUUUAAAAUUUCCCCUAAAAUUAUGAAGUGUUAGAGGAUUUAUAUCAUAUAAUUUAAUUUAAAAGUAGACUAUCUUUAUUGCAUGCAUCUCAGUAAAAAUUUUGCCUUUAUUUACCGAUGAUUAUUGGAAAAAUAAUAAGAAAAAAGUUUGUCAUUUGUGAAAAAGUUUUUUGUUUUGUUUCGUUUAAAUUUGAAGAAUGCUGUCUUAUUUAAAAGACCUCAUCCCCAAGCAGGGAUUGUUUAAUUUAUGUAGCUAUUGUUUCUUUUGAUAUAAAUUUUGUAUUUGUCCUAGUCAUUGUUAUUUUUUUGUUGUUUUAAUUGAGUUGUCUUUUUGUUUACAUUUUUACACAAAUAGUGGAAAUUACAAUUACCAACAACAUUUAUUUUUUACUUUCUAAAAAUAUUCAAACUGCAAAAAUUCUUAUAUGAAAAUUAUGAUUUUUACGUUAAAAAUGUGCUUGAUAAGAAUGUCAGUUCUUGAGUGUAGAGGUUUCGAAUUUUGUUUGGUCACUGUUUUCAUCAGGUAAAUAGAUUUGCUUGUACUUUUUUACAAAUAAAUUUUUUUAAAAUAAAAUCUCGACAAUUGUA